UACGUAGGGGGCAAGCGUUGUCCGGAUUUAUUGGGCGUAAAGAGCGUGUAGGCGGCCAGGUAGGUCUGCUGUGAAAACUCGAGGCUUAACCUCGAGCUGUCGGCGGAAACCAUCUGGCUAGAGUCCGGAAGAGGAGAAUGGAAUUCCCGGUGUAGCGGUGAAAUGCGUAGAUAUCGGGAAGAACACCAAAGGCGAAAGCGCUCUGCUGGGCCGAAACUGACACUGAGAGACGAAAGCUAGGGGAGCGAAUGGG
Molecule: ribosomal RNA, 253 nt
Filed under: uncultured bacterium
Lineage: Bacteria
Description: partial 16S ribosomal RNA
Rfam family: Bacterial small subunit ribosomal RNA
Source: RNAcentral